GACGAACGCUGGCGGCGUGCUUAACACAUGCAAGUCGAACGGAAAGGCCCUGCUUUUGUGGGGUGCUCGAGUGGCGAACGGGUGAGUAACACGUGAGUAACCUGCCCUUGACUUUGGGAUAACUUCAGGAAACUGGGGCUAAUACCGGAUAGGAGCUCCUGCUGCAUGGUGUGGGUUGGAAAGUUUCGGCGGUUGGGGAUCGACUCGCGGCUUAUCAGCUUGUUGGUGGGGUAGUGGCUUACCAAGGCUCUGACGGGUAGCCGGCCUGAGAGGGUGACCGGCCACAUGGGGACUGAGAUACGGACCAGACUCCUACGGUAGGCAGCAGUGGGGAAUAUUGCACAAUGGGCGGAAGCCUGAUGCAGCAACGCCGCGUGCGGGAUGACGGCCUUCGGGUUGUAAACCGCUUUCGCCUGUGACGAAGCGUGAGUGACGGUAAUGGGUAAAGAAGCACCGGCUAACUACGUG
Molecule: ribosomal RNA, 468 nt
Filed under: uncultured bacterium
Lineage: Bacteria
Description: partial 16S ribosomal RNA
Rfam family: Bacterial small subunit ribosomal RNA
Source: RNAcentral